AUUGAACGCUGGCGGCAGGCCUAACACAUGCAAGUCGAGCGGUAGAGAGGUGCUUGCACCUCUUGAGAGCGGCGGGACGGGUGAGUAAUGCCUAGGAAUCUGCCUGGUAGUGGGGGAUAACGCUCGGAAACGGACGCUAAUACCGCAUACGUCCUACGGGAGAAAGCAGGGGGACCUUCGGGCCUUGCGCUAUCAGAUGA
This 200-nucleotide ribosomal RNA is filed under the name uncultured bacterium. Its description in RNAcentral is "partial 16S ribosomal RNA". It matches the Rfam family "Bacterial small subunit ribosomal RNA", at positions 30 to 228 of the family's 1533-position model. The record is from RNAcentral.